This 481-nucleotide ribosomal RNA is filed under the name uncultured bacterium. RNAcentral describes it as "bacterial SSU rRNA". It matches the Rfam family "Bacterial small subunit ribosomal RNA", at positions 28 to 526 of the family's 1533-position model. The record is from RNAcentral.
GACGAACGCUGGCGGCGUGCUUAACACAUGCAAGUCGAGCGGAAAGGCCCUUCGGGGUACUCGAGCGGCGAACGGGUGAGUAACACGUGAGUAACCUGCCCUUGGCUCUGGGAUAAGCCCGGGAAACUGGGUCUAAUACCGGAUACGACACACUCUUGCAUGAGAUGUGUGUGGAAAGUUUUUCGGCUGGGGAUGGACUCGCGGUCUAUCAGCUUGUUGGUGGGGUGAUGGCCUACCAAGGCGACGACGGAUAGCCGGCCUGAGAGGGUGACCGGCCACACUGGGACUGAGACACGGCCCAGACUCCUACGGGAGGCAGCAGUGGGGAAUAUUGCGCAAUGGGCGGAAGCCUGACGCAGCGACGCCGCGUGGGGGAUGAAGGCCUUCGGGUUGUAAACCUCUUUCACCACCGACGAAGCUAACGUGACGGUAGGUGGGGAAGAAGCGCCGGCUAACUACGUGCCAGCAGCCGCCGUAACAC